CAAGGUUAACCGUAUAGGGGAGCCGCAGGGAAACCGAGUCUUAACUGGGCGUUAAGUUGCAGGGUAUAGACCCGAAACCCGGUGAUCUAGCCAUGGGCAGGUUGAAGGUUGGGUAACACUAACUGGAGGACCGAACCGACUAAUGUUGAAAAAUUAGCGGAUGACUUGUGGCUGGGGGUGAAAGGCCAAUCAAACCGGGAGAUAGCUGGUUCUCCCCGAAAGCUAUUUAGGUAGCGCCUCGUGAAUUCAUCUUCGGGGGUAGAGCACUGUUUCGGCUAGGGGGUCAUCCCGACUUACCAACCCGAUGCAAACUACGAAUACCGAAGAAUGUUAUCACGGGAGACACACGGCGGGUGCUAACGUCCGUCGUGAAGAGGGAAACAACCCAGACCGCCAGCUAAGGUCCCAAAGUCAUGGUUAAGUGGGAAACGAUGUGGGAAGGCACAGACAGCCAGGAUGUUGGCUUAGAAGCAGCCAUCAUUUAAAGAAAGCGUAAUAGCUCACUGGUCGAGUCGGCCUGCGCGGAAGAUGUAACGGGGCUAAACCAUGCACCGAAGCUGCGGCAGCGACACUAUGUGUUGUUGGGUAGGGGAGCGUUCUGUAAGCCUGCGAAGGUGACCUGUGAGGGUUGCUGGAGGUAUCAGAAGUGCGAAUGCUGACAUAAGUAACGAUAAAGCGGGUGAAAAGCCCGCUCGCCGGAAGACCAAGGGUUCCUGUCCAACGUUAAUCGGGGCAGGGUGAGUCGACCCCUAAGGCGAGGCCGAAAGGCGUAGUCGAUGGGAAACAGGUUAAUAUUCCUGUACUUGGUGUUACUGCGAAGGGGGGACGGAGAAGGCUAUGUUAGCCGGGCGACGGUUGUCCCGGUUUAAGCAUGUAGGCUGAUUAUCCAGGCAAAUCCGGAUAAUCAAGGCUGAGGUGUGAUGACGAGGCACUACGGUGCUGAAGUAACAAAUGCCCUGCUUCCAGGAAAAGCCUCUAAGCAUCAGGUAACAUCAAAUCGUACCCCAAACCGACACAGGUGGUCAGGUAGAGAAUACCAAGGCGCUUGAGAGAACUCGGGUGAAGGAACUAGGCAAAAUGGUGCCGUAACUUCGGGAGAAGGCACGCUGGUGUGUAGGUGAAGCCCCUGCGGGUGGAGCUGAGACCAGUCGAAGAUACCAGCUGGCUGCAACUGUUUAUUAAAAACACAGCACUGUGCAAACACGAAAGUGGACGUAUACGGUGUGACGCCUGCCCGGUGCCGGAAGGUUAAUUGAUGGGGUUAUCCGUAAGGAGAAGCUCUUGAUCGAAGCCCCGGUAAACGGCGGCCGUAACUAUAACGGUCCUAAGGUAGCGAAAUUCCUUGUCGGGUAAGUUCCGACCUGCACGAAUGGCGUAAUGA
Molecule: ribosomal RNA, 1381 nt
Filed under: Klebsiella pneumoniae
Lineage: Bacteria; Pseudomonadati; Pseudomonadota; Gammaproteobacteria; Enterobacterales; Enterobacteriaceae
Description: bacterial LSU rRNA
Rfam family: Bacterial large subunit ribosomal RNA
Source: RNAcentral